GGAAAAGAGGCAAUUGUAGAUACCGGCUAAAACUGUUGUCUUCCAAAUCAAAUAUAAAAGCCACCUUUUCAACCUCUAAUUUCAUAAUUUGGGAAUCAUAAUGAGACUUAUCAAUAUACAAAUAUAACUUGUGGAAGCUGCCAUCAAUUAAUAACAAGGAAAAAGAGUUGAUCCAACUUAAAUAAAUUAAGGUCGAAGAAAGAAACUCCAAAGAUUACAUGUACAAUUAGGUGGCCUCACACCAUAUCCAUUGAAUACAAUUCAAAACUACUUUAUCAUUUAAAUGCUUAAAAUAAACAAAUCAAUGCUAUAUAGAUGCUGAACAAUACUUACAAAGUCAACUCCAACGGUACUAAUGUAGUUUUCCAUAAAUGAAUCAUCCUGGUUCCCUCUAAGUUAACAAUAACACUUAUUGAUUAAAAUCUUAUUAUAUAUUUUUGAUUAAAGUAUUACCAACAUGUUUCAAAUUACAACAUUACCCACAAUACUAGACCUUAUGUAAUCUUCAACAACCUCAAUUAAUACCAACCAUAGAGUGUCACAACUGAAAAUGUUAAAGGUGAAGUGUCACGACAAUUAUGGGUACUAAAUUAGAAAAACUUUCUGUUUAAACGGCUUCUAGUAUGAUUACAAGAAUCUAGCGGAUUCUUUGGUAAAUAGUUAGAAUUCAAGUUUAGUCUUGUUACAUUAGAAACAAUAGUUUUCUUUUAGUAGGAAACAUUAUGAUUAACGAUAUUAAUAAUAUUGACCGACUUGGGAUUAAAGGAAACGGUAGUGGAAAGAUUAUAUAUGGGUGGACUCUUUCAUUCUGAUAUUCAUUUUCUUUCUUCCAUAUUCUUCUCUAAUUUGUUCUAUAAGAGAGAAAAGUUAAGAAGUGAUCUACAUGGAGGGAAAAAUUAGUGUAUCAACUUAAGUGAUUUAGGAUUUAGUAAACUAAUAAUCUUUCUAAGCUUUCUUGUAUCUUUUGAUUGAAGAAAAGGGAAGGAAAAUUGAAGAUUUCAAUUUAAUUCAUCGAGCUUGUACUGAGAUGUUUAUGGUUGCAGCUAACCUUUAAAUUCUCUUUGCAUGCCAAUGAAUUAUGGUUUUCUUACAUUUGAAUGCCUUCAUUUUGAUCUUAAUAUGAUUAUUAUGUUUAGCUAACCGAGAAGGAGGAGACUUAGGUGAUAAGGAAAAGCUAAGUAGGUGUAAUCGGUACUAGCUUUCAAGUAUUCUGCUGGUGAGUUUCUAAACUCAAACUCUCUGUGGUUAUUUAUAUUUAUCAAUACUAUGUUAUUGCAUUGUAUUUGACUUCAUGUUUUGCUGAUGAUGAGUUGAAUUAUUGUGGGUUGUUUGCUGUACGGUUGCAGUGUGCAAAGUGAUGAUUUACAAAUGUAUGUUUGAUUGUAUGUUUCAGUUCGUGGUUUUGUCAAACUUUCACUUAUAACAUAAUUACUGAAGAAGUUAUCAUUGAAAUGUUAGAUGAUAUGUUUGGUGUAAUCUACAUUGUGUUAUUAAAAUGAAUGAUCCUUUGAAUGCUUGUUAUAUGUCUGUCAUAAAUAUGAAUGAUAUGUAGAGUAUAGAGGGUUGUUUUGGCGGAUGAAAGAUGAAAAAAUGAUGUGUUGUGAACUCUGUGACAUAUGAUAUUGGCUUUACAGAGGUUUGGGCGGAUUGUACGAAGAAUGUAUACACAUGGUAUUCGACUUUGCGAAGGUUCCGUUGGAUUGCACAGAGAUAUAUGCACACAUAUAUAUAUGAUAACCCUACAUGGGUUCUUCUAAGUAUGAGACUCUGCGGACUCUAAGGCUUAAAGCCUCAUAUGUAUAAGCAAGUCCAUGGCCAUGACAUAUGUAAGUUAUGGAAGAUCGUCAGACUUGUUCUUUAAGAUUUAUGUCAAAGUUAUAUGUGAGAUUUCACCAUGCGAAGUCCGUGACAUGAAUUUGCAUGUAUCUGAAUGUAUAAAUCCACCACAUUAUGAAGUUUCUUCUAUGAAUCUGUAUUUAUAUGUAAGUAUUCGCCUAUGGAUCCGCAUGCAUGAGUUUGCCAUAUAUGAGUUCGUAUUCAUGAAUUUUCCUCUAUGAAUCCGUAUGCAUGACAAUCCGUUGGACUUGUUCUUUGGGUUUCAUCACAAAUUUUUACGUGGAAUUCCUUCAUGUGAAAGCUCGCGGAAUAACCCACAUAUAUGAAUCCGUAUUUAUAUGUAAGUAUUUGUCUAUGGAUUUGCAAGUAUGAAUUUCCCAUAUAUGAGUUCACACCUAUAUCUUCAAUAUGAAUUCGUAUGUGUGACAGUCCACUGGAUGUAUCAUUAUGAUUCAAGUUACGACAGCCUGUUGAUCUUAUAUCCAUGUUCAAGUUUAAGAUUUUAAAGAGACUAUCUUUCACAAGAGUCAGUAUGGACUAUUAUCUAAGCAAGAAAUCACAAGUUCUUACUGUUAUGUUCAAGCUAUGAGAGUUUGUAUGAGUUAUUUUUCUCAAGCCAAAAUUGUAGGGAUUUUCUUUCAUAUAGGAGCCCGCCAAGGUUUAUCUUUAAAA
RNAcentral lists this long non-coding RNA (2508 nucleotides) under Gossypium raimondii (Peruvian cotton). Its description in RNAcentral is "long non-coding RNA (GRAI_LNC005670)". Lineage: Eukaryota; Viridiplantae; Streptophyta; Magnoliopsida; Malvales; Malvaceae. The record is from RNAcentral.